This 440-nucleotide ribosomal RNA is filed under the name uncultured Pseudomonas sp. RNAcentral describes it as "bacterial SSU rRNA". It matches the Rfam family "Bacterial small subunit ribosomal RNA", at positions 942 to 1382 of the family's 1533-position model. Lineage: Bacteria; Pseudomonadati; Pseudomonadota; Gammaproteobacteria; Pseudomonadales; Pseudomonadaceae. The record is from RNAcentral.
UGGUUUAAUUCGAGGCAACGCGAAGAACCUUACCAGGCCUUGACAUGCAGAGAACUUUCCAGAGAUGGAUUGGUGCCUUCGGGAACUCUGACACAGGUGCUGCAUGGCUGUCGUCAGCUCGUGUCGCGAGAUGUUGGGUUAAGUCCGUAACGAGCGCAACCCUUGUCCUUAGUUACCAGCACGUUAUGGUGGGCACUCUAAGGAGACUGCCGGUGACAAACCGGAGGAAGGUGGGGAUGACGUCAAGUCAUCAUGGCCCUUACGGCCUGGGCUACACACGUGCUACAAUGGUCGGUACAAAGGGUUGCCAAGCCGCGAGGUGGAGCUAAUCCCAUAAAACCGAUCGUAGUCCGGAUCGCAGUCUGCAACUCGACUGCGUGAAGUCGGAAUCGCUAGUAAUCGUGAAUCAGAAUGUCACGGUGAAUACGUUCCCGGGCCUU